GGGAGCCUCUGAUUGCUUUUGGACGACUUCUUGUUAUUAGCGCUCCGAUAGAAUGAAGAUGUGGGCGCUAAUCACAACGUUAACUCAAAUAAGGACAUCCCCUCUUUCCCAUUCCUUCUCAGGCUUAGGAAUGGACGGGAUGAGAAGAGAAGCAUACCGGACUUCCUGAGAAAGAGCUUUCCUGCACGCGGGAACCUUCCUUCUGUCUUGCAGCCUCGAUGCUCAGUUCUAUUCUCCCACUCUUGCAAGGCUAGCCGGGAUAGAGGUCUGUUUUCGGGUUUGGUUUGCCUAGAUAGGAAGUGCGCUUGCAGUGCUUCUAAUAACGAUUUUGAAGUGCAAUAUCUUGGGGUAUGAUUGCUUCUUUCUUCGGCUUAAUAGGGCUUGUGGUUCGUUAUCAGUACCUGUUUUAGAGCGAUAUAACCUCGUUGCCCGCCUCUCAAGGUGGUGCCUUUCACUCUGCUCUGUCAACACUUUAUCGCUAUGCCGGAAGGUAGGAUUUCAGGUCUUUUCCCAAGCUAUGAAUCUUCAUCAAUUUGCAAAACUUAUUGCCUUACCUACUGGAGGAAGAAAAAAAAAACUUAGCUGGUUUUUUUGUCGAAAAUCGGAAGAACCUGAGAAUAUUCAAGGACUCGUUACCCGGCUGGGUAAAAGCAACAGCACAGAGGCUCUGCAGCAACAGGAGCCACAAAGAUGAUUAUAGAAAGAUACCAGGAUUAUACUCAAACAAUAGCAGCGGUACUCUCCGAAGUCAGCCCUAAAAAGAAAGGUGCUACACUAAUUGUAGUAAGCAGAACGGGGCCUCGGCCCCAGAUGGUUUAAAGAGAGCGGAAGUCGUGCUCCACACCCGUGAAGCACUUCCUCCCCUUUAAGCUAGUUUCACUUCUAGAAUUAUCUAAUAAUACUUCCUACUUCGAGUUAAUGAGUUAACGAGUUUUUGAUAGAAAAACGAGGCUUCCAUAGGGAUACUGGUGGUGGACAGAGAGGAAGGCAGCCCUCCGUAGUAAAAUUCCUAAAGUACUCGCUGCAGUUCCUGAGAAAGAAGUCGUCUUGGUAUUGGAUCCGCUCUUCUGUUAGCAUGAACAUGAAUUAUCUUCUAUUUGUCUUCUUUCUUUUCCGUACGCUAGGGCCGCUCGCACGCUUUAAGGGCGGUUGAAGGUAUUGCACUAAGAAAGACUACUGCCGUUGCUAAAGGUAAGAUUUGAAAGCGGCUCAAACAAUUUCUUUCAAAAUAAGAGCAAGCAAGAUAAGGCUUUUCAACUGUAUCGCGCGGGGGCGCUCAAGCGCCCUAUCUUACAAAGAAAAAGAAAGGGGCUCGAAAGCUGCGAAGAAAGUCGAGCUGCUCUAAUCGAGCAGUGAAAUCGGUCUGGUGAGGUAUUGGAAGUGUUCAGCGAAUAUAGAGAAAGAGACUAAACAAACCGCGCUAUACUGGCAGAGCUUCAGCAAAAGGAGGAAUCUGUCAAUCGGAGGAGCACAACCAAGUUUAAAACCUCAAAGCCCCGCAAGGGAUGUGAAGCCUUUCUCAAUGUCUUCCACUCGCCCAGUGGAUCUAGGAGGCAGGGGGAAUCCGUUAAUUGAAUCCAAUCCCAUCCAGCAUAGGCGGGUAGAGUUCACUCAUCCGGUAGCGAGGGGAAGAUGAACAAUGAAGCUAUAGCUGCUCACCUUUCCGCUAUCUGCCUUUAACUGAUUAGGGGGCUUAACAGCCCACCAACCAAUCUUUCUAUUUAUUUUUCAUUCUUGAUCUUUGGUGCCAGUGGAGCAAAGGAAGCGGGGGACGAACUCCUCUAUCUACCCUAGAAAUGGAUUAGAUCUAUUGAAUGAGAUCCUGGAGAAAUGAUUGAAGUUUUUCUAUUUUGAAUCGUCUUAGGUUGUCUUUCUAUUACUUUUGCUGGAUUAUUCGUAACUGCAUAUUUACAAUACAAACGUGGUGAUCAGUUGGAUCUUUGAUUAA
Non-coding RNA from Carica papaya (papaya), 1948 nucleotides. The record is from RefSeq and is a predicted model, not a curated record. NCBI's taxonomy places the organism in Eukaryota, Viridiplantae, Streptophyta, Magnoliopsida, Brassicales, Caricaceae.